RNAcentral lists this ribosomal RNA (433 nucleotides) under uncultured bacterium. RNAcentral describes it as "partial 16S ribosomal RNA". It matches the Rfam family "Bacterial small subunit ribosomal RNA", at positions 29 to 507 of the family's 1533-position model. The record is from RNAcentral.
AGCGAACGCUGGCGGCAGGCCUAACACAUGCAAGUCGAACGAACUCUUCGGAGUUAGUGGCGGACGGGUGAGUAACACGAGGGAACGUGCCUUUUGGUUCGGAAUAACUCAGGGAAACUUGUGCUAAUACCGAAUGUGCCCUUCGGGGGAAAGAUUUAUCGCCAUUAGAGCGGCCCGCGUCUGAUUAGCUAGUUGGUGAGGUAACGGCUCACCAAGGCGACGAUCAGUAGCUGGUCUGAGAGGAUGACCAGCCACACUGGGACUGAGACACGGCCCAGACUCCUACGGGAGGCAGCAGUGGGGAAUCUUGCGCAAUGGGCGAAAGCCUGACGCAGCCAUGCCGCGUGAAUGAUGAAGGUCUUAGGAUUGUAAAAUUCUUUCACCGGGGACGAUAAUGACGGUACCCGGAGAAGAAGCCCCGGCUAACUUCGUG